Molecule: small nucleolar RNA, 132 nt
Filed under: Tupaia belangeri (northern tree shrew)
Lineage: Eukaryota; Metazoa; Chordata; Mammalia; Scandentia; Tupaiidae
Description: Small nucleolar RNA SNORA42/SNORA80 family (ENSTBEG00000020889.1)
Source: RNAcentral
GCAAAGACUAAAUUCUGUAUUUUUUAAGGUCAGUAUACUCUCAUGGAGCCCCCUGCUAGAGAAACUGGCUCCAAACCAUUGCAUUUCUUGGCCAGCCUUUGGGCUGCUGGCACUGAUAUGGGUUGCACAGUG